RNAcentral lists this long non-coding RNA (581 nucleotides) under Octopus vulgaris (common octopus). Lineage: Eukaryota; Metazoa; Mollusca; Cephalopoda; Octopoda; Octopodidae. The record is from RNAcentral.
UAAAAAGAAAACGAGAGGGAGAAAGAAGGAGAAAAAAGUGAGAGAGCGAGAAAGGAAGGAGAGAGAGAAAGAAAGGAGAGGAAGUAAGAGAGAAAUGAAUGAGAGAGAGAGAGGAAGGAGGAUAAAAAGAAAACGAGAGGAAGAAAGAAGGAGAAAAAAGCCAGAGAGCAAGAAAAGAAAGAGAGAGAAAAAGAAAGGAGAGGAAGAAAUAGAGAAAUGAAAGAGUGAGAGAGAGGAAGAAGGAUAAAAAGAAAACGAGAGGGAGAAAGAAGGAGAAAAAAGCGAGCGAGUGAGAAAUGAAAGAGAGAGAAAAAGAAAGGAGAGGAAGAAAGAGAGAAAUGAAAGAGUGAGAGAGAGGAAGAAGGAUAAAAAGAAAACGAGAGAGAGAAAGAAGGAGAAAAAAGCGAGAGAGUGAGAAAAGAAAGAGAGAGAAAAAGAAAGGAGAGGAAGAAAGAGAGAAAUGAAAGAGUGAGAGAGAGGGAGUAAGAAGGAGAAAAAAGUGAGAGAUCGAGGAAAGAAAGAGAGAGAGAAAGAAAGGAGAGGAAGAAAGAGAGAAAUGAAAGAGUGAGAGAGAGAGGGAG